UGAAUAACCUGCCCUUAACUCUGGGAUAAGCCUGGGAAACUGGGUCUAAUACCGGAUAUGACUCCUCAUCGCAUGGUGGGGGGUGGAAAGCUUUAUUGUGGUUUUGGAUGGACUCGCGGCCUAUCAGCUUGUUGGUGAGGUAAUGGCUCACCAAGGCGACGACGGGUAGCCGGCCUGAGAGGGUGACCGGCCACACUGGGACUGAGACACGGCCCAGACCUCCGUACGGGAGCAG
This 235-nucleotide ribosomal RNA is filed under the name uncultured bacterium. RNAcentral's name for it is "partial 16S ribosomal RNA". It matches the Rfam family "Bacterial small subunit ribosomal RNA", at positions 118 to 347 of the family's 1533-position model. The record is from RNAcentral.